AGUGAACGCUGGCGGUAGGCCUAACACAUGCAAGUCGAACGGCAGCACAGUAAGAUCUUGCUCUUACGGGUGGCGAGUGGCGGACGGGUGAGGAAUACAUCGUACUCUACUUUUUCGUGGGGGAUAACGUAGGGAAACUUACGCUAAUACCGCAUACGACCUACGGGUGAAAGCAGGGGAUCUUCUGACCUUGCGCGAUUGAAUGAGCCGAUGUCGGAUUAGCUAGUUGGCGGGGUAAAGGCCCACCAAGGCGACGAUCCGUAGCUGGUCUGAGAGGAUGAGCAGCCACACUGGAACUGAGACACGGUCCAGACUCCUACGGGAGGCAGCAGUGGGGAAUAUUGGACAAUGGGCGCAAGCCUGAUCCAGCGAUACUGCGUGGGGGAAGAAGGCCUUCGGGUUGUAAAGCCCUUUUGUUGGGAAAGAAAAGCAGCAGGUUAAUACCCCGCUGUUCUGACGGUACCCAAAGAAUAAGCACCGGCUAACUUCGUG
Molecule: ribosomal RNA, 492 nt
Filed under: uncultured bacterium
Lineage: Bacteria
Description: partial 16S ribosomal RNA
Rfam family: Bacterial small subunit ribosomal RNA
Source: RNAcentral